UACAGGUAUCUCUUUAUCUUUUUAAUCUAUGUGGUUGGUGGUGGUAGAUAUGUGUAUCUAAAAAGUUUGUAAAGUUUGAUCCUGUCUAAUGGUUUAAUCUUUCUUAAAUUAAUAUGCAAACUUUCUCUUUAGGAUUACAAGUGCAGUUGUUAGUUUUAUAUUUUAUUGUUAUAGAUUUAGUUAAAGAAGAAGAGACGAGCUAAUCUUGUGCCAGCAGCUGCGGUCAUACAAGAAUGUUGGAUUAAACCUUUUAAGUUAAUUUUCUUAUUCUUUUGGAGUAAUAUUGUGUUUUUAAAGGGUGAAAUCUAGAGAUAAUAUGUACUUUUCCUUAUGAUCUGAUCUAUGUCUUUGAAGUAACUGGGAUUAGAUACCCCACUAUCUUGUUUUUAUUCUUUCUUGGGUAGUAUUUUAAAAACCUAAAGGAUUUGGCGGUUUUUAAACCUACUAGGGGAACCUGUCCUUUAAUCGAUAGUCCACGUACUGAUGUACUCUAUCUUGUACACAGCAUAUAUACCGCCGUCUAGGGGAAUGUACUAACAUUUCCUCUUAAUAAAUGAGUUUUAAUAAGUCAGGUCAAGGUGUAGCUUAUGGUAGAGUAGAGAUGGGUUACAAUAAUUUAUUAUAUGGAAAAUAUUAUUUAAUUGUUAUUCGAAGGUGGACUUAGAAGUAAAUUUUAUUACUUUGAAGUAGGCUCUUGGGAAUGUACACAUCGCCCGUCGCUCUCUUGUCUGAAGAGAUAAGUCGUAACAAAGUAGGUAUACUGGAAGGUAUGUCUAGACAGAU
Molecule: non-coding RNA, 783 nt
Filed under: Eubranchipus grubii
Lineage: Eukaryota; Metazoa; Arthropoda; Branchiopoda; Anostraca; Chirocephalidae
Source: RNAcentral